Molecule: non-coding RNA, 213 nt
Filed under: Paenibacillus mucilaginosus
Lineage: Bacteria; Bacillati; Bacillota; Bacilli; Caryophanales; Paenibacillaceae
Description: T-box sequence
Rfam family: T-box leader
About the family: Uncharged tRNA acts as the effector for transcription antitermination of genes in the T-box leader family. T-boxes are found upstream of many aminoacyl-tRNA synthetase genes and some amino acid biosynthetic genes usually in Gram-positive bacteria. The anticodon of a specific tRNA base pairs to a specifier sequence within the T-box motif, and the NCCA acceptor tail of the tRNA base pairs to a conserved bulge in the T-box antiterminator hairpin.
Source: RNAcentral
CCAAACGUUAUGAUGGGAAUAGUAGGAGAGCCCCUUCACGCUCAGAGAGUAAAUUCCACUGGCUGCGAGAAUUUACCGUGAACCUUUGCCGAACCCGCCCCUGAACGGCCGGUGAUGAACCGGACGGUACCCUGCCGUUAUGAGGAUCGAAAGACGGAUGAAUUAUUCAUCAACUAAGGUGGUACCGCGGAAGUCAAGGCUUUCGUCCUUACA